RNAcentral lists this ribosomal RNA (439 nucleotides) under uncultured bacterium. RNAcentral's name for it is "partial 16S ribosomal RNA". It matches the Rfam family "Bacterial small subunit ribosomal RNA", at positions 338 to 795 of the family's 1533-position model. The record is from RNAcentral.
CCUACGGGAGGCAGCAGUGGGGAAUAUUGCACAAUGGGGGAAACCCUGAUGCAGCGACGCCGCGUGAGUGAAGAAGGAAUUCGUUAUGUAAAGCUCUAUCAGCAGGGAAGAAAAUGACGGUACCUGAGUAAGAAGCACCGGCUAACUAGGUGCCAGCAGCCGCGGUAAUACGUAGGGGGCAAGCGUUAUCCGGAUUUACUGGGUGUAAGGGGGGAGUAGACGGCAGUGCAAGUCUGGAGUGAAAGGCGGGGGCUAAACCCCCGGACUGCUCUGGUAACUGUACGGGUGAGUGUGUGAGAGGAUAGUGGAAUUCCAGGUGUAGGAGUGAAAUCCGUAGAUAUCUGGCGGAACAUCAGUGGCGAAGGCGACUAUCUGGCACAUAACUGACGUUGAGGAGUGAAAGCGUGGGUAGCAAACAGGAUUAGAUACCCUGGUAGUC